RNAcentral lists this long non-coding RNA (4856 nucleotides) under Marmota monax (woodchuck). The record is from RNAcentral. Lineage: Eukaryota; Metazoa; Chordata; Mammalia; Rodentia; Sciuridae.
UGACGCUGGCCAACAUCAAGAUCUGGGUGCUUACUGGAGACAAACAAGGUGAGAGCCCAACAGGGCAGAGGAAGUUACACCUGGGCAGUAUUCCCGUUGGAGCCUUGGUGGAGCCGCGGGCACCAGGCUGACCUGUCGGGAGCCUGCCUGUAGCCCCUGCACUCUUUCUUGGCUAGAGACUGCUGUGAACAUUGGCUAUUCCUGCAAGAUGCUGACGGACGACAUGACAGAGGUGUUCAUAGUCACAGGCCACACUGUCCUGGAGGUGAGAGAGGAGCUCAGGUAAGCCAGAGGCCCAGGGACAGGCUGGGGUUUCUGAAUCCUAUUGAGACUUCUGUCCUGAUUCACUGCUGUUGUCCUGGGUCACCACCAUUCCAUCUCUACCUUCACAGGAAAGCCCGGGAGAAGAUGAUGGACUCUUCCCGCACCGUAGGCAACGGCUUCACCUGCCAGGAGAAACUUUCUUCUUCCAAGCUCACAUCUGUCUUGGAGGCCGUUGCUGGGGAGUAUGCUCUGGUCAUCAAUGGUCACAGCCUAGUAAGUGUUAUCAUCCUUAGCUUGAGUGGUAUUCUUCCAGAAAUCCCUUUUCUCAAUACGGCUUGUAGAUUUUUUUCUUCUCAUUUCCCUUGACUUCAGAGGGGGUUGUGAUCUUCAAGGGGCAGGGAAGAGCUGAAGCCACUAGGUGUUCCCUGGGAAGACUGUGCCUCUUUCAGGUGUUCUGUGUUCCAGGCCCAUGCGUUGGAGGCAGACAUGGAGCUGGAGUUCCUGGAAACAGCGUGUGCCUGCAAAACUGUCAUCUGCUGCCGGGUGACCCCCUUGCAGAAGGCACAAGUGGUGGAACUGGUUAAGAAGUACAAGAAGGCGGUGACACUUGCCAUUGGAGAUGGGGCCAAUGAUGUCAGCAUGAUCAAAAGUGAGUGUAGUCUGUGUGCAUGGGUGGGCUGGGCAGGAGGGGGGAGGUGCCCUGAGGUCGGCUGGGGAGAGGGACUGUAACUUGGUGGGGUCUGAAGGGGGCGGCCACCCUCACCUGUCCUCCUCUCUCACCUCCACAGCGGCUCACAUCGGUGUGGGCAUCAGCGGGCAGGAAGGGAUCCAGGCUGUCCUGGCCUCCGAUUACUCCUUCUCGCAGUUCAAGUUCCUGCAGCGCCUCCUGCUGGUGCAUGGGCGCUGGUCCUACCUGCGCAUGUGCAAGUUCCUCUGCUAUUUCUUCUACAAGAAUUUCGCUUUUACCAUGGUUCACUUCUGGUUUGGCUUCUUCUGUGGCUUCUCGGCCCAGGUAGCGAAUGUACCCAAGCUGUGAUGCAUAUCUGUAAAUUUUUUAAGGGCAGAGGAGGUUGUAUUUGACCUGUUUGCUGCCUAAUCCCAUUGUCUAGUGCAUGCAUUUAAAAAAAAAAAUUGUUGAAAGAGUAGGGAUCCCCAAGAAGCCCUAAGCUCUACAUCAGCUGUCACAUCAGUCACUUCCCGUGCCUGAUGUGCAGUGAAGAGAGGUUGCGACUCCCUUUUCCCUGUCCGCUCUCUUGCAGAUGUGUACGAUCAAUAUUUCAUCACCUUGUACAACAUCGUGUACACCUCCCUCCCCGUCCUGGCUAUGGGCGUCUUUGACCAGGUAUGGGGGAGGUGGACGGCCAGGUAGGCGGGGGGAAGAGCACUGCUGUUACAGUGUGGACAUGGGACACGUGUGCCUGCCGACUUGUGGACACGGGGAAGGCCCUUUCAGCAGGGGAGGGUGUGGGGCAGGCUCCCCUCAGGUACAGCUUCUCCACAGCUCUCCUGAGUUGCUGAACAAAAACUGGGAGCAGCUGGCUUGAGGUUGUUGUUGCUAAAGUCUGUGGAAAGGAGGUUUGAGAGACAGGGUCUGCCUUAGUGAUCCUCAUCGGUCAUGUGGCCCUCCCCAUUCAGGAUGUGCCAGAGCAGCGGAGCAUGGAGUACCCUAAGCUCUACGAGCCAGGCCAGCUGAAUCUCCUCUUCAACAAGCGGGAGUUCUUCAUCUGCAUCGCCCAGGGCAUCUACACCUCUGUGCUGAUGUUCUUCAUUCCCUAUGGGGUGUUUGCUGAGGCGACCCGAGAUGAUGGGACCCAGCUGGCCGAUUACCAGUCCUUUGCGGUCACUGUGGCCACGUCACUGGUCAUCGUGGUCAGUGUGCAGGUAUGAAGCCUCCAAAGAACUGCCCUUUCCUAUGGGAGGAGUGAGCCUUCUGUCCUUAGAGCUGUUCUCAGUGUCCCACUUUAGUUUCUGGGGGGGGGGAGUUUUUAGGGGCUCUCCUGCCUGUGACAGCUCUGACCUCUUUCUGCAGAUUGGACUGGAUACAGGAUAUUGGACAGCCAUCAACCACUUCUUCAUCUGGGGCAGCCUCGCUGUUUACUUUGCCAUCCUCUUUGCCAUGCAUAGCAAUGGGCUCUUUGACAUGUUUCCAAACCAGUUCCGAUUUGUGGGUGAGUCCCUGUGGCUUCCUCUUGAGUCUUCUUUAGGAAUUACAGCUGUUCUAGGACUCGCAGGGUAGUCGGCCAGUGUGCACAUCACAAGCGUUUAUCAGCACUCCUUAUGUGCCAGGUAGCUGACCCGUCAGCAGGACAUCAGGGGUAGCUGGUCUAGACCCGGUCCCAAAGAGUUUCUGUAACCAUGAAAGUGAUGAAGCCCUUCUAGGCUGUGGGAGGUCAGGGCUCUGAGGCGGUCAGGGGUGGCAGGCUUUGUGGUUAGCAGAGACCCUGCCAGUGGGGUGGCCAUGGUUAGUCCCCCAGAAGAGGCUGCUAUGAGCAGAGCCAGGAAGUACAAAGAAGCAAGUGUUUCUGGGGAAUAAAAAGUGCUCUAGCUGGAUGGGCCCUGGAGAAUAGAGGGGGCUAGAGGCUGGAGGGCGGGCCUUCAGCUCUAAGAAUGACAGCUGCCAGCCUUUCAUGUGCUUUGCCACAAGUCUUCAUUUAUUUAGAGGAAGGGGGACAAAUGACAUCAAAAGAUUGAGUGUUAGAGCUGGGUACAGUGGUGCACGCCUGUAAUCCUAGCCUCUUGGAGGCCGAGACAGGAGGAUCACAAGUUCAAAGACAGCCUCUGCAAUGGCAAGAUGCUAAGCAACUCAGUGAGACCCUGUCUCUAAAUAAAUACAAAAUAGGGCUAGGGAUGUGCCCCAGGGGUCGAGUGCCCCUGAGUCCAAUCCCUGGUACCCCGCCCCCCCCAAAAAAAAAAAAAAAAGAUUGAGUAUUAGGAAUGUGAAGCAAGAGUUAAGCGUAGAGGCAAAUGCCUGCAAUCCCAGCUUCUCGGAGGAUGAGGCAGGAGAAGUGCAUGUUCAAGGCCAACCUGGGCCACCGAGUGAAACCCUGUUACAAAAUCAAAAAAUGCUGGGCACGGUGGCACACACCUAUAAUCCCAGCAACUCCGGAGGCUGAGGCAGGAGGAUGGCAAGUUUGUGGUCAGGUAUGUCCCUAGCCCCAGAACUUUGAAUUUUAAUUGAAAUUUGAUGGGAAGCCAUUGGAGGGCUUGAGGCAGGAAGUGUCAUAAAAUGAUAAUGUUUUUAAAGGACCACUUCUAUUGUUGUGUGACUAAAAUAAAGUAUAGGGAGUAAAGGUGGAAAUGGGGAGACCAGUUGGAGGCUAUUGCAGGAUUUGAGGAUGACACGUGAUGGCUUGGGACACAGUGAAGGGCAGAGGGACUCCCUAGACAUUUUGAAAAUGGAGCCAACAGAUUGAAUGUGGGUUGUGAGCAAGACAGAAAAGUGGUGAUGGGUGGGGGGUUUAAUCAGAGCCGCUCGGUGAGUGGUAGUUGUUUCCUGAGCUGGGAAAGGCGUGAGCAGAUUUGGGGUGGAAGAGAAGGUGGUUCACUGUGGUCGAGGUGAAACUUGAGAUGCCUGUUGCAUAUUCAACCAUAGUUAAGGAAAUAGCUCUGGGGCUUUUGGGGGAGAAUUUGGAACCAGUCAAACGUCAAAUGUGGAGAUAAGCAUUUGAGGAGUGGGCAGAGAGAAGAGGGAAGCCAAGAUGAUUUAGGUUUUGAGAUUGGGGAAGUGGAACUGCCAGAAAUAGAAAUGGAGAAGUCAGGGGCUACCCUUGUGUCCACUUUGUGAGUCCCAAGGCCCCCGUCUCCUGUGUACCUCCAGGGAAUGCCCAGAACACCCUGGCCCAGCCCACAGUGUGGCUCACCAUCGUGCUCACCACGGUCGUCUGCAUCAUGCCUGUGGUGGCCUUUCGGUUCCUCAGGCUCAGCCUGAAGCCAGACCUGUCUGACACGGUGAGCCGUCCUGGGCUGUCCGCUCCGGGGGCGGAGACCCUUGGCCGGAAGGGCUGUCUCAGGCACCGGUGUGGCUGUCUCGGGACUGUGGCUUGGGGGUUGGUGGUGGUCCUAAGCUGCACAGGCGUGGAGGGUCCUGUGCUGGCCUGUCCCAGGGCCCCGGCUCCCUUCUCCGUGGUGGCGUGUCACACCGCUGGCUCUUCCCGUGUCCCCCAGGUCCGCUACACGCAGCUGGUGAGGAAAAAGCAGAAAGCGCAGCACCGCUGCAUGCGGCGGGCCGGCCGCACGGGGUCGCGGCGCUCGGGCUACGCCUUCUCGCACCAGGAGGGCUUCGGGGAGCUCAUCAUGUCUGGCAAGAACAUGCGGCUCAGCUCCCUGGCGCUGUCCAGCUUCACCGCCCGCUCCAGCUCCAGCUGGAUCGAGAGCCUGCGCAGGAAGAAGAGCGACAGCGCCGGCAGCCCCGGCGGCGGGGCCGAGAAGCCCCUCAAGGGGUGAAGACCUGCGGUCACAGGACACUCCGUGCUGGUGACCAGAGCAGCUGGCCAGUGGGGCGCCAAGGGAACAGUAUCUCGAACUGUUGGUCCUCGCUCUCUGCCUCCCGUCUCCUCUGGUAGCAAAAAAAUAUAAAAUUAAAAAAUAAAAAG